Pimephales promelas (fathead minnow) is the source of this 924-nucleotide non-coding RNA. The record is from RefSeq and is a predicted model, not a curated record. NCBI's taxonomy places the organism in Eukaryota, Metazoa, Chordata, Actinopteri, Cypriniformes, Leuciscidae.
GAACCAGUGUUCGAUAAAUUCCGAUUUGGACCACUGCAAACAAGGCCAGUUUGAAAAUCCCCUAAGACAGACAUGUUUUUUGUAGAAUAUUUCUGCAAGGAGUAGUCUUGCGAAGUAAACAGAGAAUUUCACUGUUUCUUUUCACAGUGUAGGUCACAAUGAGGUCAUUGGUGUGUGCCGAGUAGGUAAUGAUGCCGAGGGUUUGGGAAGAGAACACUGGAAUGAAAUGCUGACUUACCCACGCAAACCCAUCGCACACUGGCAUCCUCUCAUCGAGUAUCACAGUUCUGGAGGAGGAAGCCAGGGAGGUUCCUGUAAUUCCCUGAAGACUCCUCCAUCGCCAUAGCCUGAGGUCCAAUUUCUCAUCUUCAGACCAACAAUAAAAGAGAAUUUAUGCACAAGAUGUUCUGUCCUGGAAUCCGGAGAGCUCCAGUAGCCUGUAUCUGACAUCAGAGGCGUGCCAUUUUCUUCUGCCUGUGCACCUGGAAGCCCUUCCACUGCAUGGGAAUACUUGAUUGUUUCAGCUGCAUGUUGAGUGGUCACACACUGUAUGGUUAUUUUGUGCUACUCAUGGUGAAUUGGAAAAGAAAAUUUAGUGGAAAAAUAUGGAAAAGAGUAUUUCUUUGUUCUCAUAGUUUCGAUUCCAAGUAAUUGUUUUCUAAAUCAGUCUCGGUAUGUGUUUUUAAAUGGAGUGUCCGUGUGUCACUCAAUGCUCUUGAGGUUAGAAUGUCAACUUCCCUUUUUAUACCCUCCCACUGCGCAUGAGUGUGUUUUGGUGUGGUAAAGUUCAAGAUGUUCUCUGUUACUUGUUUGAAAUGCUCUGUGGAUUUUGUCAUCAAGCGUCAUGGUGGUGAACUGUUUACAGACUUUGCAAGUAAAAUGUUAUUUCUCAUGUUAUUAAACAUCUUUUUCUUACAAAACUAA